AAACAUCUUUUCUUGUUAGUUUUUGAAGUAUGGCCUGCCCACUGACUAUGGAGUUGAAGGGCCGCGGUAUUUUGACCGUGCAAAGGUAGCAUAAUCAUUAGUUCUUUAAUUGUGAUCUGGUAUGAAUGGCUUGACGAGACGUGAGCUGUCUUAGGGGUAUUUUGUUUGAAUUUGGUUUUUGAGUUAAAAUUCUUAGAUGUUUUUAUGGGACGAGAAGACCCUAUAGAGUUUAAUAUUUUUCUUAUUAUGUUGUUGUGUUUGUUUCAUUAUUUUUAGUGGGUUAAGUAUUUUGUUGGGGUGAUGGGAGGAAUUUAUUUAACUCCUCUUUAUUUUGAUAUAUUGAUUUAUAUGUUUUUGAUCCAUUUAUUUUGAUUAUAAGAUUAAAUUACCUUA
RNAcentral lists this ribosomal RNA (393 nucleotides) under Globitermes sulphureus. RNAcentral's name for it is "partial 16S ribosomal RNA". The record is from RNAcentral. Lineage: Eukaryota; Metazoa; Arthropoda; Insecta; Blattodea; Termitidae.